RNAcentral lists this ribosomal RNA (759 nucleotides) under uncultured archaeon. Its description in RNAcentral is "bacterial SSU rRNA". It matches the Rfam family "Archaeal small subunit ribosomal RNA", at positions 88 to 845 of the family's 1478-position model. The record is from RNAcentral.
GCUUAGUAACACGUAGUUAAUCUGCCCUUAGGUGAAGGAUAAGCACGGGAAACUGUGUCUAAUACUUCAUAGGAGUUUAGUGCUGGAAUGCUUUUACUCUGAAACAUUAGGCCUAAGGAUGAGACUGCGGCUGAUUAGCUUGUUGGUGGGGUAACUGCCUACCAAGGCGAUGAUCAGUAGGGGCUCUUAGCGGAGUAGCCCCAAGAUGGAAUCUGAGACACUAUUCCAAGCUCUACGGAGUGCAGCAGCUGCGAAUAUUUUACAAUGCACGCAAGUGUGAUAAAGCGAGCCAAAGUGCUAUCUCUUUUUGAGGUAGCUUUUAUUCAGUUUAAAAAACUGGAUGAAUAAGGACUGGGAAAGAUCGGUGCCAGCCGCCGCGGUAAUACCGACAGUUCAAGUUGCAUCCACUUUUAUUGGGUCUAAAACAUCCGUAGCUUGUUAGUUAAGUCCCUUGUGAAAUCUCAUGUCUCAAGCAUGAGGCUUGCGGGGGAUACUGGCUAGCUAGAGACCGGUAGGCGUAAGGAGUACGGGCAAGGUAGUGGUUUAAAUACGUUAAUCUUGCUUGGACUAACAAUUUAGCGAAAGGCACCUUACGAGGACGGAUCUGACAGUGAGGGAUGAAGGCCAGGGGCGCAAAACGGAUUAGAUACCCGUGUAGUCCUGGCAGUAAACACUGCUCACUAAACAUCGGGGCCUCUUAGGGAGGAUUCGGUGCUGAAGGGAAGCCGAAGAGUGAGCUACCUGGGAAGUAUAGUCGCA